CUACGGAGGAUCCGAGCGUUAUCCGGAUUUAUUGGGUUUAAAGGGUGCGUAGGUGGUUUGAUAAGUCAGCGGUGAAAGUUUGCAGCUUAACUGUAAAAAUGCCGUUGAAACUGUCGGACUUGAGUGUAAAUGAGGUAGGCGGAAUGCGUGGUGUAGCGGUGAAAUGCAUAGAUAUCACGCAGAACUCCGAUUGCGAAGGCAGCUUACUAAGCUACAACUGACACUGAAGCACGAAAGCGUGGGGAUCAAACAGGAUUAGAUACCCUGGUAGUCCACGCAGUAAACGAUGAUUACUAGCUGUUUGCGAUACACAGUCGGUGGCCAAGCGAAAGCGAUAAGUUAUCCACCUGGGGAGUACGACCGCAAGGUUGAAACUCAAAUGAAUUGACGGGG
RNAcentral lists this ribosomal RNA (393 nucleotides) under uncultured bacterium. RNAcentral describes it as "partial 16S ribosomal RNA". It matches the Rfam family "Bacterial small subunit ribosomal RNA", at positions 523 to 918 of the family's 1533-position model. The record is from RNAcentral.